This 152-nucleotide ribosomal RNA is filed under the name uncultured Roseobacter sp. RNAcentral describes it as "partial 16S ribosomal RNA". It matches the Rfam family "Bacterial small subunit ribosomal RNA", at positions 356 to 525 of the family's 1533-position model. The record is from RNAcentral. Lineage: Bacteria; Pseudomonadati; Pseudomonadota; Alphaproteobacteria; Rhodobacterales; Roseobacteraceae.
UGGGGAUCUUGCACAAUGGGGGCAACCCUGAUCUAGCAAUGCCGCGUGAGUGAUGAAGGCCUUAGGGUCGUAAAGCUCUUUCACCGGGGACGAUAAUGACUGUACCCGGUAAAGAAACCCCGGCUAACUCCGUGCCAGCAGCCGCGGUAAUA